RNAcentral lists this long non-coding RNA (708 nucleotides) under Salmo salar (Atlantic salmon). RNAcentral describes it as "lncRNA (ENSSSAG00000091172.1)". Lineage: Eukaryota; Metazoa; Chordata; Actinopteri; Salmoniformes; Salmonidae. The record is from RNAcentral.
AAUUCAUCUCCCUUGGUCUCCUCAUAUUUCUCUCUAAAUCAGAGAACUGACUAGGAAGGAAGAUAUAAAGUUAGUUAGACUCUCUGUACUGUGGCUCAACUAAUUUGUGGUCUGUGCUCAGGUGGGGGAACAGAAUAAUGUGACUUCAGUAGAAGGUGUUUUUGAGUGGAGCAGCUGAAGAGGGACAGAGAGACUGGUAGGUAUUUAUUUUUAUUUGUAUUUACUAUGGAUCCCCAUUAGCUGCUGCCAAAGCAACAGCUACUCUUUCUGGGGUCCAGCAAAAUUAAGGCAGUUAAUAGGUGGAGAUGGAAGAGAGGGAUAGAGAGACUGGUAGGUAGAGAGGGAAGAGAGGAACAGAGACUGGUAGGUAGAGAGGGAGGAGAGGAACAGAGAGACUGGUAGGUAGAGAGCAAGGAGAGGAACAGAGACUGGUAGGUGGAGAGGAAGGAGAGGAACAGAGACUGGUAGGUAGAGAGGGAGGAGAGGAACAGAGAGACUGGUAGGUAGAGAGGAAGGAGAGGAACAGAGACUGGUAGGUGGAGAGGAAGGAGAGGAACAGAGACUGGUAGGUGGAGAGGAAGGAGAGGAACAGAGAGACUGGUAGGUAGAGAGGAAGGAGAGGAACAGAGAGACUGGUAGGUGGAGAGGGAAAAUAAAGCUCUACUCAAUAGUUGACCAUGUUUAGUUUCAGUUUGUGUAAUAGUCAGU